This 97-nucleotide non-coding RNA is filed under the name Candidatus Schekmaniibacteriota. RNAcentral's name for it is "Candidatus Schekmanbacteria c-di-GMP sequence". It matches the Rfam family "c-di-GMP-I riboswitch aptamer". From Rfam's summary of the family: GEMM was predicted in a large-scale screen for bacterial structured RNA regulatory elements. Genes associated with GEMM are involved in a diverse array of functions, including chemotaxis regulation, signal transduction, secretion and chitin. The record is from RNAcentral.
CCACGAUAAGAGCAAACCAUCUGAAAGGAUGGGACGCAGAGUCACAAGCCCUCGGUGGUGAGGCGAAAAAAAGCACCAGGGUGGUUGGGCCGCCGAA